Molecule: long non-coding RNA, 1991 nt
Organism: Rosa rugosa (rugosa rose)
Lineage: Eukaryota; Viridiplantae; Streptophyta; Magnoliopsida; Rosales; Rosaceae
Exons: 4
Source: RefSeq, a predicted model, not a curated record
CAGAGGCCAAGCUACCAUUUCCCCUGUUCCAUUUCUAUUUUUUUUCUUCCGCUUCUUUAUUCUUCUUUUCCGUCUCGAACAAACCCAGAACCAAAACGAAAUGAAGGUUGACUUGAAGGCUGAAAUUGAAUUAGAGUUGGACUUGGAGAUGGGCACGCAGAAGCUUCCACGAAGCAAAUGGGAGAUAGGGUCGUGUCUUUAUUCUUGGCGAGGGACCUCUUGAUUUGUCAUUUGUGUUUCCUCAGGCCAACAACACAUUUGUGAGGCCGAAGCGAUGCCAUCUCACAGCAGUAAUUUUGAGCACCAUCAUCCAAAAUAUGUGAUGGAAUCACGGUGUGGGGAUCGCUGUUUCUCAUUGCUCCAUUUGUAGAGCGGCAAUAUAAUGCCCACCAACUAUUCGAUGAAAGGCCAAAGACAAAGUCUGCAGCAAUCUCCCUGCUAGAUUUUGGCAAAGGCGCAAUUAGAUCACCAAGCUUCACUUUCUUGGCCUCCUCUUUCAUGGCUUCAAUGGUGCUCCUUCAUCAUGGAGAAUAGAUUUAGCUUUGUGCAGGCCUCAAUUUGAAGAAGAAAAAUUAACUUCCAUAUUGCUUAUUAUUUGCGGGUGUCAUAAGGAGGACACACAGAUUAUUGCUGACAUUGAGAGUACAGAACAAGUACAGGAGCUGUGGUGGUUGAUAGAGGGUGGAUUGGUGCUUUGUAAACAAGAUAUGAAAUUUGGGCCAAGCUAUUUCGCUAUGACGGUUGACAGAGAGCAGGGAUGGUUAUGGCCUUUGGUUCCCUUUGUUGCCAUUUAGCACCAUCGUACUCCAGCAGCUUUGUAUUUGCUUUGUUGCUGCUGAGAGCGAGCUCGGUGAAGCAUGCAGCUAUGACAUGGUUUCCUAAUGUGCAACUACAAUGAUCUUCGGAGACGCUGCUCCGGCAUGGUCAUCGGAGACGCUGCUCCGGCAUGGUUCAUCGGAGACGCUGCUCCGGCAUGGUUCAUCGGGACGCUGCCCGGCAUGUUCAUCGGGACGCUGCCCGACAUGUUCAUCAGAGACGCUGCUCCGGCAUGUCUUCUUUUAUGCAGCAUCGUUGAGAAACCUGUGAACACAAAGAAAGUGGAGAUCUUUGGAAGGGAGGGAGUCUCAACCUUUGUGGUGAACUUCACGCUGUUGGAUUCUUCUUGCUUGCAGCAGGGCCUCGGCUAUCUUCUCCUCUUUCUGCCUUCGUCCUCCGCGUCCAUAUUGUUGGCUUUAUAUAGUGGACUGAUGGAGAGAUUAACGUAAAUGUUGUUGACUCCCACUUGAAAUGAAAUAGCUAGAGUCUCAUUUUUCCAAGGCUCUUGAAGAUGAUUUGUCCUUGUCUUUGAUUUGAGACGUUCUCUCUUGCUACUCCUAUUCUUUCUCUCUUUUUUUUUAUCAUUAUUUGGCUGGAACUUUAUCUUGUAUAAUAAAGAAAACUCCAAGCAAAGUGUAGCACGGCAUCAUGGAAUUUUGCUCCUUUUUGGCCUCAUAUGUUCAUUAUUAUUAUUAUUUUUUUUAUCUCAACAACUGGACAUGAUAUUCGAUAACGAGAUUAGGAUUCAUUUCGAUGAAGGAUGCACAUUCUCUUCAUUUAAAAUUAUUCAUCCCGAUUGUGCUCCAAUAGAACAAAAUGGAUUCGAUUGUGGCAUUUUUAUGAUUAAAUUCAUGGAGGAUUAUGAGAAUGCAUCCAAAGCAGGGGACAAGUAUCAUUCUGUGAACGAGCGUUUGCGCAUAGGUCUCACCUUGUUGAAACAUCUGGACAACCAAGCACGCAACAAUAUUGCCGAAGCUAGACAAAGGUCACUACAAAAAGUUAUAUGCAAGAAAUGUGGACUAGAGACAAUGAAGACAGAUUAAGACAGUGCAACACGCAGCCAUACCGAUGAAGGUUUGCAAAGGUCUCCAAAGAAAAUGAAGGCAAUCCAAGAAAGAGAUGCAGCCAACGUGAACAAAAAAAAGGGUCCUGGUAGGCCUCGUGGCUUGAAGAAU